This 1016-nucleotide ribosomal RNA is filed under the name uncultured archaeon. RNAcentral describes it as "bacterial SSU rRNA". It matches the Rfam family "Archaeal small subunit ribosomal RNA", at positions 9 to 1006 of the family's 1478-position model. The record is from RNAcentral.
UGAACCUGGCAGANGGCUACUGCUAUUGCGAUUCUGAUUAAGCCAAAAAAGUCGAAUGAACCUAGUUNCAUGGNCAUACGGCUCAGUAACACGUGGAUAACUUACCCCUCAGGACCAGGAUAACCUUGGGGAAACUGAAGAUAAUAUCUCGACAUUCAGCUUACGCCUGGAAUGCUUUACCCUUGAAAUGUAUUUUUCGCCUGGCGAAGGAUAGAUCUGCGGCUGAUUAGGUCGUUGGUAGGGUAACCCCCCACCAAGCCCGAUGAUCGGUACGGGUUCUGAGAGCAAGAGCCCGGAGAUGGAACCUGAGACAACGGUUCCAGACCCUACGGGGUGCAGCAGGCGCGAAACCUCCUGCAAUCUACGCAAGUGCGACGGGGGCAUCCCAAGUGUUAUUCUUAACAGAAUAACUUUUCAUUAGUGUAAAAAGCUUUUAGAAUAAGACGCUGGGCAAGACCGGCGCCAGCCGCCGCGGUAACACCGGCAGCUCAAGUGGUAGCUGUUUUUAUUGGGCCUAAAGCGUUCGUAGCCGAUAUGAUAAGUCUCAGGUGAAAGCUUGUAGCUUAACUAUAAGAAUUGCUGAAGAUACUCUCAGACUUGAAGUCGGGAGAGGUUAGAGGUACUACCGGGGUAGGGGUGAAAUCUCUAUAAUCCUGGCAGGACCACCUGUGGCGAAGGCGUCUAACUGGAACGAUCUUGACGCUGAGUAACGAAAGCCAGGGGGCGCGAACCGGAUUAGAUACCCGGGGUAGUCCUGGCCGUAAACGAUGUGGACUUGGUGUUGGAAUGGCCUCGAGUUGUUCCCGUGCCGAAGCGAAGCUGUUAAGAUCCACCGCCUGGGGAAGUACGGUCGCAAGACUGAAACUUAAAGGAAUUGGCGGGGGAGCACCACAACGCGCGGAGCCUGCGGUUUAAUUGGAUUCAACGCCGGAAAUCUCACCAGGAGCGACAGCAGAAUGAUAAUCAGGUUGAUGACCUUAUUUGAAUAGCUGAAGAGGAGGUGCAUGGCCCCGUCA